AAUUUCUCGUACCAGCCCUUGAUCUUCUGCUCCAGGUCAGCGUUGGCCUCCUCUAGUGCUCGCACAUUUUCCAGUUUAAAAUCAAUGGACUAUAAGCUUGAUAAAGCUCCUUCGCCUGAUGUGUAAGUUUCUUCUUGAGGUGGGAGCCAAGACAAAAUCAAGCCAAAGAAGAGGAAAAGAAAGGGUUAAUUACUUGCAACAAGCCAGGAGAACACCAUGGAUAUUCCCAAACAACAAAAUUAGGGAAGUUUUAAGGUACAUGUGUAUUCAUGUGGGGCUUGGCAAGGGAGAA
Molecule: long non-coding RNA, 292 nt
Organism: Lontra canadensis (Northern American river otter)
Lineage: Eukaryota; Metazoa; Chordata; Mammalia; Carnivora; Mustelidae
Exons: 3
Source: RefSeq, a predicted model, not a curated record